Molecule: ribosomal RNA, 565 nt
Filed under: Bacillus sp. AIMST 10.T17.2
Lineage: Bacteria; Bacillati; Bacillota; Bacilli; Caryophanales; Bacillaceae
Description: bacterial SSU rRNA
Rfam family: Bacterial small subunit ribosomal RNA
Source: RNAcentral
UGCGGCAUGCUAUACAUGCAAGUCGAGCGAAUGGAUUAAGAGCUUGCUCUUAUGAAGUUAGCGGCGGACGGGUGAGUAACACGUGGGUAACCUGCCCAUAAGACUGGGAUAACUCCGGGAAACCGGGGCUAAUACCGGAUAACAUUUUGAACCGCAUGGUUCGAAAUUGAAAGGCGGCUUCGGCUGUCACUUAUGGAUGGACCCGCGUCGCAUUAGCUAGUUGGUGAGGUAACGGCUCACCAAGGCAACGAUGCGUAGCCGACCUGAGAGGGUGAUCGGCCACACUGGGACUGAGACACGGCCCAGACUCCUACGGGAGGCAGCAGUAGGGAAUCUUCCGCAAUGGACGAAAGUCUGACGGAGCAACGCCGCGUGAGUGAUGAAGGCUUUCGGGUCGUAAAACUCUGUUGUUAGGGAAGAACAAGUGCUAGUUGAAUAAGCUGGCACCUUGACGGUACCUAACCAGAAAGCCACGGCUAACUACGUGCCAGCAGCCGCGGUAAUACGUAGGUGGCAAGCGUUAUCCGGAAUUAUUGGGCGUAAAGCGCGCGCAGGUGGUUUCUUA